GGUGAACGCUGGCGGCGUGGAUGAGGCAUGCAAGUCGAAUGGGUUUAGGCCCAUGGCAGACGAGGUAGGAACACGUAGGUACGUACCGGAGAGUCGGGCAUAACCUGCCGAAAGGCAGAAUAAUUCUCGAUAGUCCCUUAGGGGUAAAGAUUUAUCGCUCUCUGAACGGCCUGCGUUCUAUCAGCUUGUUGGUGAGGUAA
Molecule: ribosomal RNA, 200 nt
Filed under: uncultured bacterium
Lineage: Bacteria
Description: partial 16S ribosomal RNA
Rfam family: Bacterial small subunit ribosomal RNA
Source: RNAcentral